This 544-nucleotide small RNA is filed under the name Pan troglodytes (chimpanzee). RNAcentral describes it as "processed transcript". Lineage: Eukaryota; Metazoa; Chordata; Mammalia; Primates; Hominidae. The record is from RNAcentral.
UGGCCGGCGAAUCGUGGUUCUCUUUUCCUCUUUGGCUGUCUGAAGAUAGAUCGCCAUCAUGAACGACACUGUAACUAUCCGCACUAGAAAGUUCAUGACCAACCGACUCCUUCAGAGGAAACAAAUGGUCAUUGAUGUCCUUCACCCCGGGAAGGCAACAGUGCCUAAGACAGAAAUUCGGGAAAAACUAGCCAAAAUGUACAAGACCACACCGGAUGUCAUCUUUGUAUUUGGAUUCAGAACUCAUUUUGGUGGUGGCAAGACAACUGGCUUUGGCAUGAUUUAUGAUUCCCUGGAUUAUGCAAAGAAAAAUGAACCCAAACAUAGACUUGCAAGACAUGGCCUGUAUGAGAAGAAAAAGACCUCAAGAAAGCAACGAAAGGAACGCAAGAACAGAAUGAAGAAAGUCAGGGGGACUGCAAAGGCCAAUGUUGGUGCUGGCAAAAAGAAAUGAAGUGUCUAGCAGUGAGCUGGAGAUUGGAUCACAGCCGAAGGAGUAAAGGUGCUGCAAUGAUGUUAGCUGUGGCCACUGUGGAUUUUUCAC